This 76-nucleotide transfer RNA is filed under the name Propionibacterium sp. Its description in RNAcentral is "tRNA-Thr". It matches the Rfam family "tRNA". From Rfam's summary of the family: Transfer RNA (tRNA) molecules are approximately 80 nucleotides in length. Lineage: Bacteria; Bacillati; Actinomycetota; Actinomycetes; Propionibacteriales; Propionibacteriaceae. The record is from RNAcentral.
GCCUCCGUAGCUCAGUUGGUAGAGCACCCGCCUUGUAAGCGGACGGUCGCGGGUUCGAAUCCUGUCGGAGGCUCCA